GCAGCCGCGGUAAUACGGAGGGUGCGAGCGUUAAUCGGAAUUACUGGGCGUAAAGCGCAUGCAGGUGGUUUGUUAAGUCAGAUGUGAAAGCCCGGGGCUCAACCUCGGAACUGCAUUUGAAACUGGCAGACUAGAGUACUGUAGAGGGGGGUAGAAUUUCAGGUGUAGCGGUGAAAUGCGUAGAGAUCUGAAGGAAUACCGGUGGCGAAGGCGGCCCCCUGGACAGAUACUGACACUCAGAUGCGAAAGCGUGGGGAGCAAACAGGAUUAGAUACC
RNAcentral lists this ribosomal RNA (276 nucleotides) under Vibrio sp. BacPol6. RNAcentral describes it as "partial 16S ribosomal RNA". It matches the Rfam family "Bacterial small subunit ribosomal RNA", at positions 511 to 786 of the family's 1533-position model. The record is from RNAcentral. Lineage: Bacteria; Pseudomonadati; Pseudomonadota; Gammaproteobacteria; Vibrionales; Vibrionaceae.